Molecule: ribosomal RNA, 1419 nt
Filed under: Lophodermium agathidis
Lineage: Eukaryota; Fungi; Ascomycota; Leotiomycetes; Rhytismatales; Rhytismataceae
Description: eukaryotic LSU rRNA
Rfam family: Eukaryotic large subunit ribosomal RNA
Source: RNAcentral
CAGGGAUUGCCUCAGUAACGGCGAGUGAAGCGGCAACAGCUCAAAUUUGAAAGCUGGCUUUGGCCCGCGUUGUAAUUUGCAGAGGAUGCUUCGGGUGCGGCCCCGGUCUAAGUUCUUUGGAACAGGACGUCAUGGAGGGUGAGAAUCCCGUAUAUGGCUGGUGGCCUGUGCCUAUGUGAAGCUCCUUCGACGAGUCGAGUUGUUUGGGAAUGCAGCUCUAAAUGGGAGGUGUAUUUCUUCUAAAGCUAAAUAUUGGCCAGAGACCGAUAGCGCACAAGUAGAGUGAUCGAAAGAUGAAAAGCACUUUGGAAAGAGAGUUAAAUAGUACGUGAAAUUGUUGAAAGGGAAGCGCUUGCAAUCAGACUUGCGCGGCGUUGAUCAACCUGGGUUCUCCCGGGUGCACUCGGCGCCGCUCAGGCCAGCAUCAGUUUCGGCGGUGGGAUAAAGGCCCAGGGAACGUGAGUCGCUUCGGUGACUGUUAUAGCCCUGGGUGCCAUGCCGCCUGUCGGGACUGAGGACCGCGCUUCGGCUAGGAUGCUGGCGUAAUGGUUGUAAGCGACCCGUCUUGAAACACGGACCAAGGAGUCAACCACUUGUGCGAGUGUUUGGGUGUUAAACCCAUACGCGUAAUGAAAGUGAACGGAGGUGAGAGCCCUCGGGUGCAUCAUCGACCGAUCCUGAUGUCUUCGGAUGGAUUUGAGUAAGAGCAUAAUCGGUUGGACCCGAAAGAUGGUGAACUAUACUUGAAUAGGGUGAAGCCAGGGGAAACCCUGGUGGAGGCUCGCAGCGGUUCUGACGUGAACUCUGAUCGGUUCAGCGCGUCAAACAGUGGAUUGUACAUAAGUCUGCUAGUGGGGGGCCUGUAACUAGGCUGUCCUGCAACACUGUCAACAUGCGGGGACUCUCUAUGAAUAAACAUCAUGGGGUAACCCGCAGCCCACCCUCCCCUGUUUGGUAAAGGUUGGUUCAGAGACUAGAUGACAGUGGGUUUUCCUGCCAAUGCGGGAAGAUUUGAGAUAUAGCCCGUUUCUGCGCCAAAGCGUGGGAGAAGCACGGCAAAUCGAUCGUCAAAUUUGAGUAUAGGGGCGAAAGACUAAUCGAACCAUUGGAAAAGAGAACCUAGUUUCUAGGUGGUUGAGAGACGGCCUGGCCGUCUAGUUUCCUUGCGGAAGCUAUACUGCAAACGUGCGGGGACCCUCUGAUGGCCUACGCUACCGCCGCGACCGCUGAAAGGUGGGCGUGGCACCGGUUCGCACCGGGUACGGUAACAAUGCGUUGGGAUUGAGCGAUCCGCAGCCCGUUCCCUAAGGCCUCUCCGGGGGCUACGGGGACGGUUCAUCGACUAGAUGGCAGUGGGUGCGGCCUCGGGGCCGCGCCUAAGGUAUAGUCAGACCGUGGCAGCGAUACCGUGGCAGCUCG